GAUGAAGAACGUAGCGAAAUGCGAUACGUAAUGUGAAUUGCAAAUUCAGUGAAUCAUCGAGUCUUUGAACGCACAUCGCGCCCCCUGGUAUUCCGGGGGGCAUGCCUGUCCGAGCGUCAUUGCUGCCCUCAAGCACGGCUUGUGUGUUGGGCCCCGUCCUCCGAUCCCGGGGGACGGGCCCGAAAGGCAGCGGCGGCACCGCGUCCGGUCCUCGAGCGUAUGGGGCUUUGUCACCCGCUCUGUAGGCCCGGCCGGCGCUUGCCGAUCAACCCAAAUUUUUAUCCAGGUUGACCUCGGAUCAGGUAGGGAUACCCGCUGAACUUAAGCAUAUCAAUAAGCGGAGGA
RNAcentral lists this unclassified non-coding RNA (345 nucleotides) under soil metagenome. RNAcentral's name for it is "partial contains 5.8S ribosomal RNA, internal transcribed spacer 2, and large subunit ribosomal RNA". The stretch from base 1 to 119 matches the Rfam family "5.8S ribosomal RNA", at positions 35 to 154 of the family's 154-position model. The record is from RNAcentral.